RNAcentral lists this ribosomal RNA (465 nucleotides) under uncultured Verrucomicrobiota bacterium. Its description in RNAcentral is "bacterial SSU rRNA". It matches the Rfam family "Bacterial small subunit ribosomal RNA", at positions 338 to 795 of the family's 1533-position model. Lineage: Bacteria; Pseudomonadati; Verrucomicrobiota. The record is from RNAcentral.
CCUACGGGGGGCUGCAGUCGAGAAUUUUUCUCAAUGGGGGAAACCCUGAAGGAGCGACGCCGCGUGGGGGAUGAAGGGCUUCGGCUCGUAAACCCCUGUCAUUUGUGAGCAAGUGUUAUUGUUUAAGAGAUGAUGACAUUGAUAGUAGCAAAAGAGGAAGGGACGGCUAACUCUGUGCCAGCAGCCGCGGUAAUACAGAGGUCCCAAGCGUUGUUCGGAAUCACUGGGCGUAAAGGGUGCGUAGGCGGUAUAGUAAGACUUGGGUGAAAUCUCCAUGCUUAACGUGGAGGGAGCCUGGGAGACUGCUGUGCUAGAGGAUUGGAAGGGAGACUGGAAUUCUUGGAGUAGCAGUGAAAUGCGUAGAUAUCAAGAGGAACACCAGUGGCGAAGGCGAGUCUCUGGACAAGACCUGACGCUGAGGCACGAAGGCCAGGGGAUCAAACGGGAUUAGAUACCCCUGUAGUC